CAUUCGUGGUGCACUGGCUGUGACAAGAAAUAGCCUAAUGGGGCCCAUCGACGGGGAUCUAUCCCAAACUGACUGCGCAUCAAGCGAGCACUAUACCACUGGGCUACAUCCCGCCCCACCCCCUAAGAUUCUAAUGGAGUUUCAGACUUGAAUGUGAUAACAAAGCCAUACAAAUUGUAUGUGUGUGGCGUCAAUAACGAUUAGAACCUAGAUUAUAAAGUUUUAUAAGCACUGGUCCUGGUUGUGAGCUCUUGAUUAAUAGCUAAAGGUUGGCAGAAACGUAGCCCAGUGGUAAAGCAUUCGCUUGAGACUUUAAACGUCAUGGCAACAUCAUGCAUAUUGUAUGCGUGUGACACUAUUCGAGAUUUGAGUGCCCACUCGAUGCAUGGUCGGUCUGGUAUAUCAAAGGCUGUGGUAUGUGUUAUCCUGUCUGUGGGAUGGCGCAUAUAAAAGAUCCCUUGCUGCUAAUCGAAAAAGAGUAGCCCAUGAAGUGGCGACGGCGGGUUUCCUCUCUAAAUAUCUGUGUGGUCCUUAACCAUUUUGUCUGACGCCAUAUAACCAUAAAUAAAAUGUGUGUCGUUAAAUAAAACAUUUCUUUCUUUCUAUUAGAGAUUCGAGUCUAGACUAUAAGUUUUAUAAAUACAGGCCCUGGUUCGAGUGUAGACUAUACGUUUUAUAAGCACAGGCCCUGAUUCGAGUGUAGACUAUAAGUUUUAUAAAUACAGGCCCUGAUUCGAGUGUAGACUAUAAGUUUUAUAAGCACAGGCCCUGAUUCGAGUGUAGACUAUAAGUUUUAUAAGCACAGGCCCUGAUUCGAGUCUAGACUAUAAGUUUUAUAAGCACAGGCCCUGAUUCGAGUGUAGACUAUAAGUUUUAUAAAUACAGGCCCUGAUUCGAGUGUAGACUAAGUUUUAUAAGCACUGUAUAUUGGACCAUACUGAAUUGUUAUCAGUGCUUAUAUUGCAUUUCGACAAUUGUUAGUCAUAUGUAAAUCAAGAUGUUUGUAAGGUAAAUAUUCUUAGUCAUGUUCCACUAUAGGAUACUAAAACAAAACAGUUCAGCAAUUUGCUACUUCUGCAUUGUACUUUUUAAAAGUAUGGUACAUACAUUCAUUGACGUGACAGUUUGUAUGCAUUUCAGUUUGUAUUGAAAAUGUCCUGUUGUAUGCUGACAAAUGAUGGAUUUAGUUAAAACUUGUUAAUUUUCUUUUAUUUAAGCACAUCUAGCAAAUUGCUAAACGUUUUAGUCCUAGUAUAUUUUGUUUGAUGUAAGUGCCUCAAGUUGAUUAGCAGCAUGUUUGCCAAACUGUUUUACCCUUCUUCUACCCUUCCCUUCCCUCCCUUCUGCACUUCCCUGUCCUCUCCUUUCCUUCCUCCUUCUACCCUUCUCUUCCCUCCCUUCUGCACUUCCCUUUCCUUUCCUUUCCUUCCCUUCCCUCUUCUACCCUUCCCUUCCCUCCCUUCUGCACUUCCCUGUCCUCUCCUCCCCUUCCCUCUUCACACCACCCAUAGAAUAUCAGCUGAGUGUACACUGUCUUAUGUUCAAUGUAAACUAAAAAUACA
Gigantopelta aegis is the source of this 1562-nucleotide long non-coding RNA. RefSeq lists it as uncharacterized. The transcript is spliced from 2 exons. NCBI's taxonomy places the organism in Eukaryota, Metazoa, Mollusca, Gastropoda, Neomphalida, Peltospiridae. The record is from RefSeq and is a predicted model, not a curated record.